Molecule: RNase P RNA, 356 nt
Filed under: Guyparkeria sp. XI15
Lineage: Bacteria; Pseudomonadati; Pseudomonadota; Gammaproteobacteria; Chromatiales; Thioalkalibacteraceae
Also listed under: 1 other name
Description: Halothiobacillus sp. XI15 Bacterial RNase P class A
Rfam family: Bacterial RNase P class A
About the family: Ribonuclease P (RNase P) is a ubiquitous endoribonuclease, found in archaea, bacteria and eukarya as well as chloroplasts and mitochondria.
Source: Rfam by way of RNAcentral
GGAGUUGGCCAGGUUGUCGCGGCGUCUUUCGAGGCGUCGAGGAAAGUCCGGGCUCCACAGGGCACGGUGCCAGGUAACGCCUGGGCGGCGCGAGUCGACGGAAAGUGCAGCAGAGAGUAGACCGCCGAUGGCCGCAGCAAUGCGGCACAGGUAAGGGUGAAAGGGUGCGGUAAGAGCGCACCGCACGCGUGGCAACACGGCGUGGCACGGCAAACCCCACCGGGAGCAAGGCCAAAUAGGGGAACAAUGGCGUGGCCCGCGCUGUUCCCGGGUAGGCUGCUCGAGCGCAACGGUGACGUUGCGCCCAGAUGAAUGGCAACCCACGACAGAACCCGGCUUAUCGGCCGACUCCACCC